Bos taurus (domestic cattle) is the source of this 447-nucleotide long non-coding RNA. NCBI's taxonomy places the organism in Eukaryota, Metazoa, Chordata, Mammalia, Artiodactyla, Bovidae. The record is from Ensembl.
UGGCACAUAAAGACACACACACACACACACAAGGAAGAAGGUCAUGUGGCGGUGGAGACAGAGAUGGCAGAGACGCAGCUGCAAGCCCAGAAACACCGAGGACAGCUGGCAGCCACCAAAAGCCAAAAAGAUGCAACACGCUAGGAAGAGGGAAGGACAUGUUGUUCUCACCUCACAGUGAAAUUGAGAUUGUUGUUGUUCAGUAGCUCAGUCAUGUCCAACUGUUUUGCGACCCAAUGGACUGCAGCCCCCCAGGCUCCUCUGCCCAUGGAAUUUUCCGAGCAAGCAUACUGGAGUGGGUUGCCAUUUCCUGCAAGAUCCCAUGUUAAUCCAGAAUAUAUCCCAGAAGAUUUGGAAUGUGGAUCACCAUCUAAAUCCAAAGAGCCUCUGUGCUUGGAUUAGCUCCACUGGGCAUGAAACAAGAGUCUUCUUGGAGAAGAAAAUGGC